RNAcentral lists this long non-coding RNA (396 nucleotides) under Equus asinus (donkey). Its description in RNAcentral is "lncRNA (ENSEASG00005024655.1)". The record is from RNAcentral. Lineage: Eukaryota; Metazoa; Chordata; Mammalia; Perissodactyla; Equidae.
GUUGUACACACUUUGAAAAAUAAAUGCACAAUCAGUAUCAGCGGAUAUUUUAUUAACAGAUUUAUUGACCUUUACGUGCUAGGUACUGUGCUAUGUACUGAGUAUACAAAUGGAAUUGUUUGGGCCUCCUAUGUCCCAGAAUGUCAUGAGAUACUUUUCCAUGUUGUUCAGUCCAUGUGGAAUGUUUUUCUUUCUUUCACCUGGUAAAUCUUCUAUCUUCCAGAUUCAACUUGAUGAUCCUCAACACAGCCUUCCCUACCCUCAAAUGGCCCCCACGAAUUUCUGCUUUGUGUUCUUUUACUUUUUCAACAAACUAUAUGGAGCAUCUACAGUGUUCCCACUACUAUUCUAGGAACAGAGAACACAGAUGUGAAAGCAAAGAAAACAAACAAAAAC